RNAcentral lists this ribosomal RNA (487 nucleotides) under uncultured bacterium. RNAcentral's name for it is "bacterial SSU rRNA". It matches the Rfam family "Bacterial small subunit ribosomal RNA", at positions 15 to 518 of the family's 1533-position model. The record is from RNAcentral.
GAUUCUGGCUCAGGACGAACGCUGGCGGCGUGCCUAACACAUGCAAGUCGAGCGAGGAGAUUCCUUCGGGAUGAUCCUAGCGGCGGACGGGUGAGUAACACGUGGGCAACCUGCCUCAUAGAGAGGAAUAGCCUUCCGAAAGGGAGAUUAAUACCUCAUAACAUUGCAGUUUCGCAUGGAACAGCAAUUAAAGGAGUAAUCCGCUAUGAGAUGGGCCCGCGGCGCAUUAGCUAGUUGGUGAGGUAACGGCUCACCAAGGCGACGAUGCGUAGCCGACCUGAGAGGGUGAUCGGCCACAUUGGGACUGAGACACGGCCCAGACUCCUACGGGAGGCGGCAGUGGGGAAUAUUGCACAAUGGGGGAAACCCCGAUGCAAGCAACGCCGCGUGAGUGAUGACGGCCUUCGGGUUGUAAAGCUCUGUCUUCAGGGACGAUAAUGACGGUACCUGAGGAGGAAGCCACGGCUAACUACGUGCCAGCCGCAGC